UCAUUUCGGUAGGUGAGGUUACCACAGGGAUUGGGAUAUUUGACAUGCUUCAAGCAUUCGAUAGGACCCGGAGAUUGCUGCCGCGAGAUUGUGGAGACACGAUUAGUUGGUCAGCAGGCUGUGUCGAGAAGGCACAACCUAAUGCAAUUGAUAUGCCCUGUGAUACUAAAGCUUGAACGAUGC
RNAcentral lists this small RNA (183 nucleotides) under Mediterraneibacter faecis. Its description in RNAcentral is "M-box riboswitch (ykoK leader)". It matches the Rfam family "M-box riboswitch aptamer (ykoK leader)", at positions 11 to 159 of the family's 169-position model. From Rfam's summary of the family: M-box riboswitch, also know as ykoK leader is described as a metaloregulatory RNA that sense divalent metals and function as a genetic control element of genes related to divalent metal transport in bacteria. The record is from RNAcentral. Lineage: Bacteria; Bacillati; Bacillota; Clostridia; Lachnospirales; Lachnospiraceae.